UGCUGGAUGCGAUUCCGGUUUAAGACAGACAUAACUAUGCUUGUUCGUUUGAGGAUUGUUGUUGUUGCUGUUCCUCUUCAUGCUUUCCCUCCUGGAAGCUAGAGUUGAAGAAAAACGAGAAUCAGGGGAGAUGAAACGUUUUACCCAAGGCGAUGAGAAAGAAAGCUCAAAGGUUUUUUUGGAUUGGUGCUUCUCCACGAGGAUCUUUGAACCUUGUUUCACGUUUCCUUCAACACUAGACCCAGAGUUCACAUCUUUUUUGUGUGUUAAUGAAGUUCAUAUGUUUGUGUGAACAUCCUUUACUCUUUUUGGUUAGAUUUUUUUCCAAGGGUUAAUGUUUUUAUUAAAGAAAUUACUAUAUUUUUUUAUCACUUUGAAGAAAUUGGUCAUCCAUGUUCCC
Molecule: long non-coding RNA, 400 nt
Organism: Capsella rubella
Lineage: Eukaryota; Viridiplantae; Streptophyta; Magnoliopsida; Brassicales; Brassicaceae
Exons: 2
Source: RefSeq, a predicted model, not a curated record